Molecule: ribosomal RNA, 462 nt
Filed under: Kingella kingae
Lineage: Bacteria; Pseudomonadati; Pseudomonadota; Betaproteobacteria; Neisseriales; Neisseriaceae
Description: bacterial SSU rRNA
Rfam family: Bacterial small subunit ribosomal RNA
Source: RNAcentral
AUAUUGGGACGUACCGAGUAAUGGGGGAUAACUAUCCGAAAGGAUAGCUAAUACCGCAUACGCUUUGAGAAGGAAAGCAGGGGAUCUUCGGACCUUGCGUUAUUCGAGCGGCCAAUAACUGAUUAGCUAGUUGGUGGGGUAAGGGCCCACCAAGGCGACGAUCAGUAGCGGGUCUGAGAGGAUGAUCCGCCACACUGGGACUGAGACACGGCCCAGACUCCUACGGGAGGCAGCAGUGGGGAAUUUUGGACAAUGGGCGAAAGCCUGAUCCAGCCAUGCCGCGUGUCUGAAGAAGGCCUUCGGGUUGUAAAGGACUUUUGUUAGGGAAGAAAAGGUUGAUGCUAAUAUCAUUAACUGAUGACGGUACCUAAAGAAUAAGCACCGGCUAACUACGUGCCAGCAGCCGCGGUAAUACGUAGGGUGCGAGCGUUAAUCGGAAUUACUGGGCGUAAAGCGAGCGCA